GUCAGUGUGACCUAAUGGAAAGAGAAUUGGGUUUAGAAUCAAAAGUUUGGGUUCAAGUCCUAACUCUGAUA
RNAcentral lists this transfer RNA (71 nucleotides) under Monodelphis domestica (gray short-tailed opossum). It matches the Rfam family "tRNA". Rfam says of the family: Transfer RNA (tRNA) molecules are approximately 80 nucleotides in length. Their secondary structure includes four short double-helical elements and three loops (D, anti-codon, and T loops). The record is from Rfam by way of RNAcentral. Lineage: Eukaryota; Metazoa; Chordata; Mammalia; Didelphimorphia; Didelphidae.